CAGGUAGACUGCUGGAAUUGUGGCAGGAAAGGACACAUUAAACGUAACUGCAGGUGUCCUCCUAAAAAUAGAAAACCCCAAGAUUCUAAUGAUAACUCCCAUGACAGCCAACCACCACCACCACCACCUCCCCCCCCCCAAUAGGAAAUUGGCAAACCAGUGUCCCUACAUAUCAUCAAUAUCCCUGACUCUGCAGGACCCUCAUCCAUUAUCUAAUGCAGAUUUUGAGUUUUUUUGUAGAUGGUUCCAGAUAUGCUGAUGAGAAGGGUAAUUUCCACACUGGAUAUGCUGUAGUCUCUGCACAUGAGGUAAUAAAAGCUGAACCACUCGCUCCUCACUGCUCUGCACAGGAGGCAGAGCUGAAGGCACUCGCUGAAGCGUGUAAAAUGGCCUCUGGUAAGACUGCUAAUAUUUAUACAGACUCUCGCUAUGCUUUUGGUAUAGCCCAUGAUUUUGGCCCUAUAUGGCGGGCUCGUGAUUUUCUCACCUCAGCAGGAACUCCAAUCAAGAAUUCUGAAGCCGUAAGAGCACUUAUGGACGUUAUCCUGCUACCCACUCAAGUAGGCAUCAUCAAGGUGGCAGCUCACGUGAAGAUCACAGAUGAAAUCUCAAGAGGAAACCACAAAGCAGACGAAGCUGCCAAGCAAGCAGCAAUCAAAGUUCAUCCCUCUACAGGUAAUACCUUUCUACAAGUUGUUCUUACAGAUGACGCCAUUGACUACAAUAUACUGUUGAGCUUACAAAGACAGGCAAGCAAGGAAGAACAUGACCUCUGGAGGAAACAAGAUGCAGAACCUGAUGAUGACAGAAUGUGGAGGAAAGGUAAAAGACUGUGUUUACCACGAGUGUUGUACCCCAUGAUGGCCCAGAUUGCCCAUGGACCUACACAUCUAUCCAAGAUGCACAUGAACAGCAUAGUAAACACCCAUUGGUUAGCACCCGGAUUUACUGUUGUAGCAGCUAAACACACCCAAGCUUGCAUGAUUUGUGCUAGAAACAAUCCAGGACAAGCUGUGAAAACACCAAGUAAGCACACACCAAGGCCACUUUACCCGUUUCAAAGACUGCAAAUAGACUAUAUUCAACUACCUAAGGUAGGAGUGUAUGAAUAUGUGUUGGUGUGCAUUGAUCUCUUUUCAGGUUGGCCUGAGGCCUACCCAGUGUCGAAAGCCACAACGAAGGUCACAGCAAGUAAGCUUCUGAAGGAACUGGUAUGUAGAUAUGGAGUACCUGAAGUGAUUGAAAGUGACAGAGGUAGCCAUUUCACUGGGGAAAUAAUGCAAGAAAUUAUGAAAGCCCUAGGGAUCAGUCAGGC
Pelobates cultripes (western spadefoot toad) is the source of this 1315-nucleotide non-coding RNA. The record is from the annotation of a GenBank genome assembly. NCBI's taxonomy places the organism in Eukaryota, Metazoa, Chordata, Amphibia, Anura, Pelobatidae.